UGCUCUCGGGUGACGAGUGGCGGACGGGUGAGUAAUGUCUGGGAAACUGCCUGAUGGAGGGGGAUAACUACUGGAAACGGUAGCUAAUACCGCAUAACGUCGCAAGACCAAAGAGGGGGACCUUCGGGCCUCUUGCCAUCAGAUGUGCCCAGAUGGGAUUAGCUAGUAGGUGGGGUAACGGCUCACCUAGGCGACGAUCCCUAGCUGGUCUGAGAGGAUGACCAGCCACACUGGAACUGAGACACGGUCCAGACUCCUACGGGAGGCAGCAGUGGGGAAUAUUGCACAAUGGGCGCAAGCCUGAUGCAGCCAUGCCGCGUGUAUGAAGAAGGCCUUCGGGUUGUAAAGUACUUUCAGCGGGGAGGAAGGUGUUGUGGUUAAUAACCGCAGCAAUUGACGUUACCCGCAGAAGAAGCACCGGCUAACUCCGUGCCAGCAGCCGCGGUAAUACGGAGGGUGCAAGCGUUAAUCGGAAUUACUGGGCGUAAAGCGCACGCAGGCGGUCUGUCAAGUCGGAUGUGAAAUCCCCGGGCUCA
This 536-nucleotide ribosomal RNA is filed under the name Cronobacter muytjensii. RNAcentral's name for it is "bacterial SSU rRNA". It matches the Rfam family "Bacterial small subunit ribosomal RNA", at positions 79 to 611 of the family's 1533-position model. Lineage: Bacteria; Pseudomonadati; Pseudomonadota; Gammaproteobacteria; Enterobacterales; Enterobacteriaceae. The record is from RNAcentral.